RNAcentral lists this long non-coding RNA (622 nucleotides) under Oryza brachyantha (malo sina). Its description in RNAcentral is "long non-coding RNA (OBRA_LNC002504)". Lineage: Eukaryota; Viridiplantae; Streptophyta; Magnoliopsida; Poales; Poaceae. The record is from RNAcentral.
GUUAGGCCAGUAAGCACUAGGUGUUCAAUACAGAAGGAACACCCAUGCACUAGCCAAAUAGAAAAACUAGCUAAUUAAUUAGAUCCCUUGGACGUACUCCCAUCCGUUCACGAAUAUAUGCAUGCAUUUCAUGAUUUAAAUUUUGUACAACUUAAAAUUCUCUAGAAAAUCAAUUCUUUUUUUGAGAGAACACAGUACAACACAUACGCUCACAACGCAUGCACACCCUCCUCCCCUAAGAACGCACGCACGUAAACCCUACCCCUAUGAGCACCUCUGAAGCCUGAUCGGCACAUCCUGGAGAGACUGACGAAGUCACCAUAGACGCCUCGCUGUCGACGGGUACGUCAUCUACUACUGAAAGCACAAAACCGUUAGAAUCCUGAAAAAUUCGCUCCAACUAGGAGUCGAACCCAGGAUCUCAAGUGCUACUAAGGCCUCUGUAACUAGGCUACAGGCCCUUUCGCUCUAGAAAAUCAAUUCUAAUGCAUGAGAAUUUAGUCAUUUUCAGUCGAUCAGGUGCUUAGAAUGGGGACCCAAACAUUUUCAAAAUUUGACCACUAGAAUGAUUUGAAAGAUAGUUCUUAUCGUGAAAUGACUGAAAGAGAAAUUUUAUUCUGAU